AACGCACCUUGCGCUCCCUGGUAUUCCGGGGAGCACGCCUGUUCGAGUGUCGUGAAAUUCUCAAACUGGGAUGCUUUUUUGUUUCUCGGCUUGGUGUUGGGCUUUGCAGUUCCUUUGAUUGGGAUGGCUGGCCUCAAAAGCAUUAGCUGGCUUUUCAUGUGGCAUUGGUUCUACUCAGCGUGAUAAUAAUCUGACCGCCGAGGACAUCUUUCGAGAUGGCCAAUUCUCAUUUGGGCUGCUUCUAAUUUUGGUAGAGCGGAUUCUGAAUCUGUUCCACUUUUUCAACUUUUGACCUCGAAUCAGGUGGGACUACCCGCUGAACUUAA
RNAcentral lists this unclassified non-coding RNA (326 nucleotides) under uncultured Membranomyces. RNAcentral's name for it is "sequence contains ITS2". The record is from RNAcentral. Lineage: Eukaryota; Fungi; Basidiomycota; Agaricomycetes; Cantharellales; Hydnaceae.